Long non-coding RNA from Tribolium castaneum (red flour beetle), 1024 nucleotides. RefSeq lists it as uncharacterized. The transcript has 2 exons. Lineage: Eukaryota; Metazoa; Arthropoda; Insecta; Coleoptera; Tenebrionidae. The record is from RefSeq and is a predicted model, not a curated record.
AGUAUUUGAAUGGCAUUAGUCGGACCAUUAAUUCAAAAAUAUGUACGAUAUAAAAUAAUUGAGAAAUUUUUUAUUCAGUAAUUUGUUAAAAUCGGGUAAUUAAUUAUGAAGUCGCAAUUUAUGGCACUUUUUACACAUUUCUAAAAAAAUUAUUGAUGAAACUAAUUUUUAUCGAGGAUUAAUUUUUUAUUCGUUUUCACUUUUGUUAGCUCUUUUGUCACAACUAAUAAUAAUAGACAAAAGUCUUGUAUCACUCAAGGAUGAAAUAUCACGGGAUUAAACUAUUGAAGCUGGAUUUUUAACCACUAAACAAAUAUUUGAAGACGUAAUCCGUUAAAACACUGGAUUAAAAGAGAAUUAGGACAAAUUCAAUUCAAUUUUAUCGAAGAAUCAGCAGAUUAGACUGUUGUUUAUCCACCACGUUUAUAAAAGAGAUUCUGCUCUCGAUACCUCAGUAGAUAUCGCAAUGAAAGUGCCAGUACUGAUAGGACUAGCCCUCGUGGGCUUGUCUAGUGCCAAAUACGAGGGCUCAACAAUCUUGAGUUUAGCAUUGAAAUCGAAAAUGUUGGAACCGCCAUUCAGGCUGAAAAACACUACCACAAAUCGAGACAAGCUUUAGGUUUGGGAAAAAUUACUUUUGACCAAUAUUUACGCCACGCUGAGAUUAAUGCUUAUUUGGCCCAACUGGCUAAAGACUACCCCGACACUGUCACUCUAGAAACAAUCGGACAGUCGUACGAAAAACAUUCCCCGUUUUCAUUCCGACUACAAUCCGAUCUAUUCUUACAGCAUCUCCUCUUUCACGACAGCUUAUACCGUUUAUAGGUAUGUGUCUAUCGAGGAGAAUCAUCGGCACGACCAUCAAUCCUGAAUACCCCGAAAUAUUGUGGAUUUCAUUUCCUGAUCAAGCUGGUUUGGGUAACUGAACCGUUAAAACCCAUCAGACCGGCUUCCAAUUAUUAAAGUCCAAUAUCAAAAAGGAGUCUUUGCAUUUCUACUAAAACAAUAUAAACUUUGUAAUUCA